GGUGGAGGUGAUGGUGGUGAAGGUGGUGAUGGUGGAGGUGAUGGUGGUGAUGAUGGUGACUAUGAUGGUAGUGAUGUCAGUGAUGGUGGUAAUAGGGAUGAGGGUUGUUUUUAGUGGUGGUGAUGGUUAUAAUUGUGGUGAUGAGUAUCGUGGUACUGACAGCCCCAGGGUUCUUGUGCCAGGGGCUCUGACAAAGGGUCCAAAGCUGUUCGACUCUUCAUGGCUGCAGACGUGGCUCAGCAGUAGCUCUCCCACCUAACAUGCAGGAGCUCUGGAUUCAAUCCUCAGUGCUACAGAAGUAAAUGAGCAAAGCAGCACCUAUUGUCACCACGAAAGGAAACGGACGGACAGACAGACAGACAGACAGACAGACAGACAGACAGACAGACAGGAAUGCUGUGGGGCCGCAUUGUGUGGGGCCUGACCCAGGAAGGAAGACUCCAUGUGUCCUGCCAGCAGCUGGGAGAUCACAGGGUCGCCUCAGCAGGUCCACCUCCCGGCCUGCUUGCCUGCCUCUGUCCUGGCCAGCUCUCACUGCAGGACUCUGUGCCCUGUUGGAAAGAGUUAAGAACCUCAGGCCAAAGCCCCAGUUUUACACUGCCCAGCGUGAGUACCCAUCCAUUAGAUCAUAGGUUCUGCGUCCCCCUGUUUGUCUUCAACUCUCAGCUCAGCCACCUGGACAGGUCUUCUAGGGUGCGACAUGCAACACUGUGGCCGCUGGACCCCCGUAGCCAGGCAGCCCUAUGGCCUCAGGGACUGGGAAACAGCAGGCUUCCUGAAAUUAUUUCAUGCUCAAUUAUUUCAUGCUUGUUUCCUCAAGGGCCAUGUAGCCCAGACUUGACUCAACUCCUGUUUCCACCUUGCCAAUGCUUGGCUGACAGGCCUUUGCCCAUCCCCCAAACCCCAGGCUUCCACUUCAUUUUGCCUCAUUGUGGCAGGAUCCAAUUGUGGGCAGUGGUGCAUUUCCUGUCCCCUUCUCAUGGUGACAGAGGCGAGCAUUUCAGACAGGCUGCCUUCUGUGCAAGUGUCAUUCACACCAAUGAGCCCUUGUUCCACACUCACUGUGGUGCCCGGAACUUUCACAACUUCCUCCAUUUUAUCUUUAAAGGGAAACGGGCUUGGAGGUAUUAAGCAACCUUCCCAAGUGCAUACAGAAAGCGGUGUGACUGGGUUCUCACCAAGGCAGCCUGGCUUUGGGAUCUGUUUUCCUCAGUGCUUAACAGGCAAGUGAAGGCUUUCCUUAUUUCAGAGGGACUAGAAUGGACUGCAGUCCCAGGACUUGGAAUAUACUGAAGCAGGAGGAUAUAAGAUCAAGGCCCUUCCACUGGUCAUGAUGGGUGCUCACGGGCUUCAUGGCUACCGGACUUCCAGCCUCUCGAACUGUGUGCUAUGGGAAGACAGUCUUCUCUUUCCCCUGUCUUGGGAUAGGUUCUAUGUAUCCCAGGCCGGCCUACUUACACCUCCUAAAAUUUGUUUUCUUAACUCCCUCUCCCUCUCCCUGUCCCCCCUCUCCCUCUCCUCCCCUCUCUCUGUGAGUGUGAGUGUGUGUGUGAGAGAGUGUGUGUGAGUGUGUGUGUAUGUGUGUGAGUGUGUGUGAGAGAGUGUGUGUGAGUGUGUGUGAGUGUGUGUAUGUGUGUGUGAGUGUGUGAGUGUGUGAGUGUGUGAGUGUAUGAGUGUGUGAGUGUGAGUGUGUGAGUGUGUGAGUGUGUGUGAGUGUGUGCGCGUGAGUGCAUGUGCUCUUGGAACCAGAAGAGGGCACUAUCUCCCCUGGAGCUGAAGUUACAGGUGCUUCUCAGCAGUCUAAUAUGAGCACUGGGAACUGAACUCAAGUCCUUACCACUGAGCAAUCACUCCAAGCCCUUAAACCUCAUCUAUGAAUGAAGUGCUCACCCUUGGGUAUCUCACUAUAGCAAUGGAAAAGAAAUAAAUACAUGCCUAAAUUUCUACCAGAUCCCUUAGAAUAGGACUGCAAUCCCCUUCCACCUCUCAGGGCAAGGCCAUCCCUUCUCCACAUGUCCCCUCUGCACAAACAUUCCCCAUCCUCCAAAACACAUCUCUUCAAAGCCCCCACGGGACAUCAUGCACCUGGAGAGGCCUCAGGCUUCUAAACCACAGGAAUGGAGCCUCUUUUCAGCUGACAAUUACAAAGGGGACAUUUAUGGUCACCUUUCUCCAACUCUGUAUACAGUUGUGUGUGAAUUGCUGGGAUUCAAACCCAGGGCUUUCAGCAUGCUAGGCAAGUCCUGUGCAUUUCUGGCAGGCUGACGUUUGACUGACCAAAAUGCCACAGACAGGAGAAUUUUUGGAAAACCCUGAGGGGUGGCGGUAGAGGAUUGGUGUUCUGUAAGUGACAUGAGGGGCUGGGAGGCUCUUUGUUGACAACACAGUGGUGAAGAUUGACCUUACUGAGGCUGUGGGGGAUCGGGUGCUGAUGGCGAGAGCGUUUCCCAAACAGAUGAACUGAGAGUCUCUCCAGGGUGUUUUUGAAGAAACGUCUACAAGCUUGGUUUGAGGCUCACCAGUUCUGUGGUAUUCUAACGUGUGUUCAUAGUUGAGAUCUUAAGCUGGCAGUGGCAAGGCUGAGAACCCAAACUGGCAAAGGUGAGGCCAGAGUGUCGCACACUGAAGAUCAGUCUGGGUGACAGAGUCCAGUCCAGUCAUGGCUCCUACCCACCAAAUCCCCCCCCAAAAAGCUGGAUGCAGAUGGCAAAGCCCUUAAUCCCAGCACUUGGGAGGCAAAGUCAAAUGGAUCUCUGAGUUCAAAGGAAACUUGAUGUUCACAGUGAGUUCCAGGAAAGCCAGUGAGACUCUGUCUCAAAGAAAAAAAAGCCCCCAAAAAGCAAGAAAAAAAACCCAGCAAAAAUAAAUUUAGAAAUGUUUAAAGUCUGA
Non-coding RNA from Rattus norvegicus (Norway rat), 2889 nucleotides. The record is from RefSeq and is a predicted model, not a curated record. Lineage: Eukaryota; Metazoa; Chordata; Mammalia; Rodentia; Muridae.